This 71-nucleotide transfer RNA is filed under the name Rexea nakamurai (Nakamura's escolar). RNAcentral's name for it is "tRNA-Asp". It matches the Rfam family "tRNA". From Rfam's summary of the family: Transfer RNA (tRNA) molecules are approximately 80 nucleotides in length. Their secondary structure includes four short double-helical elements and three loops (D, anti-codon, and T loops). Lineage: Eukaryota; Metazoa; Chordata; Actinopteri; Scombriformes; Gempylidae. The record is from RNAcentral.
AAGACACUAGUAAAAGGGAAUUACAAUACUCUGUCGAGGCAUAAUUGCGGGUUUAAACCCCGCGUGUCUUU